GCCCAGGUGGUGGAAUUGGUAGACGCGCUGGCUUCAGGUGCCAGUGGCCGCAAGGCCGUGGAGGUUCGAGUCCUCUCCUGGGCACCA
This 87-nucleotide transfer RNA is filed under the name Zymomonas mobilis subsp. pomaceae. Its description in RNAcentral is "tRNA-Leu". It matches the Rfam family "tRNA". From Rfam's summary of the family: Transfer RNA (tRNA) molecules are approximately 80 nucleotides in length. Their secondary structure includes four short double-helical elements and three loops (D, anti-codon, and T loops). Lineage: Bacteria; Pseudomonadati; Pseudomonadota; Alphaproteobacteria; Sphingomonadales; Zymomonadaceae. RNAcentral also lists the same sequence under 22 other names. The record is from RNAcentral.